UGCAAAAUGUGGUGACUCCCCC
RNAcentral lists this non-coding RNA (22 nucleotides) under Mus musculus (house mouse). The record is from RNAcentral. Lineage: Eukaryota; Metazoa; Chordata; Mammalia; Rodentia; Muridae.